GUGCCAGCGCCGCGGUAAUACGUAGGGAGCAAGCGUUGUCCGGAAUCAUUGGGCGUAAAGGGUGCGCAGGCGGCCUGGCAAGUCAAGUGUGAAAUGUAUCGGCUUAACCGAUACACUGCGCUUGAAACUGUCAGACUUGAGGGCAAGAGAAGAGAGCGGAAUUCCUAGUGUAGCGGUGAAAUGCGUAGAUAUUAGGAAGAACACCAGUGGCGAAAGCGGCUCUCUGGCUUGACCCUGACGCUGAGGCACGAAAGCUAGGGGAGCGAACGGGAUUAGAUACCCUAGUAGUCC
This 291-nucleotide ribosomal RNA is filed under the name uncultured bacterium. RNAcentral describes it as "partial 16S ribosomal RNA". It matches the Rfam family "Bacterial small subunit ribosomal RNA", at positions 505 to 796 of the family's 1533-position model. The record is from RNAcentral.